RNAcentral lists this ribosomal RNA (465 nucleotides) under Vreelandella stevensii. RNAcentral's name for it is "partial 16S ribosomal RNA". It matches the Rfam family "Bacterial small subunit ribosomal RNA", at positions 338 to 795 of the family's 1533-position model. Lineage: Bacteria; Pseudomonadati; Pseudomonadota; Gammaproteobacteria; Oceanospirillales; Halomonadaceae. The record is from RNAcentral.
CCUACGGGUGGCAGCAGUGGGGAAUAUUGGACAAUGGGCGAAAGCCUGAUCCAGCCAUGCCGCGUGUGUGAAGAAAGCCUUCGGGUUGUAAAGCACUUUCAGUGGGGAAGAAAGCCUUGGGGCUAAUACCCUCGAGGAAGGACAUCACCCACAGAAGAAGCACCGGCUAACUCCGUGCCAGCAGCCGCGGUAAUACGGAGGGUGCGAGCGUUAAUCGGAAUUACUGGGCGUAAAGCGCGCGUAGGCGGUCUGAUAAGCCGGUUGUGAAAGCCCCGGGCUCAACCUGGGAACGGCAUCCGGAACUGUCAGGCUAGAGUGCAGGAGAGGAAGGUAGAAUUCCCGGUGUAGCGGUGAAAUGCGUAGAGAUCGGGAGGAAUACCAGUGGCGAAGGCGGCCUUCUGGACUGACACUGACGCUGAGGUGCGAAAGCGUGGGUAGCAAACAGGAUUAGAUACCCGAGUAGUC